CCCUGUGAGAUCUCGUUGUGAAUUCGCUCAUGCUCGUCUCUGUGAAUUCAGCCGACGUUCCUCGUCUCUGGUUCACGUGAGCCUUCUUUGUGUUGCCAACAAACAAAGUUGUCGUCAUACUUGUCCACUUCUCCACUCAGCUUAUCAGACCUAAGCUUGGGCAGGAACAAAGAAGAGAAACUUCGUAACCCUUCUUAGCUUCAAUCAAAAAGUCUCCUUUUAUAAAAGAUUUCAGAAAACACCAAAGUCGAAGCAAAGAGAGUGUUCAUAGGAGCAGGAUGCAACAGAGUCGUCAAUAACGUCUCUUGGGGAGCUUCGGGUCUCGUCUCUUUCGGUGCCAAAAUGCUGUUGCUGUUUUCUGCCCAAAGACUGCCCAGAUUGUUACUACACUUCCAGAUUGUUUUAUGUUCUUGAUUUAGCGUUUUCAGUAUCUUGAAUCACGCCAUAGGGUGGAAUUGAUGAAGUUGAGGAUCCAAGAGCUGCAGUCAUGGGAGAGCUUGAAGAAGGACUGGAGCUUAGAUUAUAAUACUCGCAUCCAUAUUUGUUAAAGCGAGACCAAGUCUUUGUGUGUGUGUGUUGAUCAUGAAAUAUUAACUAGUGGAACAUAACUACUUGUUGCAUCAUAGCUGUAUUCUUGUUUGGUUUCUAAAACCUUUUAAAAGCAUGUC
This is a long non-coding RNA of Capsella rubella, 668 nucleotides long. RefSeq lists it as uncharacterized. The transcript is spliced from 4 exons. Lineage: Eukaryota; Viridiplantae; Streptophyta; Magnoliopsida; Brassicales; Brassicaceae. The record is from RefSeq and is a predicted model, not a curated record.